This 76-nucleotide transfer RNA is filed under the name Rhopalomyia pomum. RNAcentral describes it as "tRNA-Lys". The record is from RNAcentral. Lineage: Eukaryota; Metazoa; Arthropoda; Insecta; Diptera; Cecidomyiidae.
UAUUUAAUGACUGAUUAUAAAGUAAUAGUUUUUUAAACUAUAUAUAUAUAUAUAAUAUAAAUAGUUAAUUUAAUAA